CUUCCGCCGCCGGGCGUGCUGGCCGGAGGGGUGGCGUGGCGAGUUCGGUGGCCCGGGGUCUGACGCUGGCGGCGGGAGGCUGCUGGACUGCGCACAGGUGCAGCCGGCGGGGAGGGGUUGCCGCCGUAGCUCUCAGUCGCCCCAUCGCUCAGCUGUAAAACGCCCCCCUGGACAGGGCGCGGGGCCACCUCAGGAACCUUCAUCCCCCCUGGGCUAUCCUGUCAACUCAAGCUCUGAUAGUGUAUUUCCCAGGCACACACCCCAAAAACCUUCUGCAUGCAAUUCUCCAUCUCAAGUUUGUUUCCAAGGAACCCAAGCCGAGCCAGUGUGGUGUGCCUGGACUUCACAGAUUGACCUCAGAUGAGCUCAGCUCCUGGCCU
This is a long non-coding RNA of Mesoplodon densirostris (Blainville's beaked whale), 380 nucleotides long. RefSeq lists it as uncharacterized. The record is from RefSeq and is a predicted model, not a curated record. NCBI's taxonomy places the organism in Eukaryota, Metazoa, Chordata, Mammalia, Artiodactyla, Ziphiidae. The transcript is spliced from 3 exons.